GCUUCCUGGUAUCUCUUCUCUCUUACGAAGAAGUUGAAAGAGGAGACCAAGUACCAUCCAUUGCCUGGCCUAUGAUAUAUGGAUCACCUUUCGAAGUUGACAAAGGGUUUGUUCUUCACAUAAGUACCCUUCCGAAUGACCAACCUCUUUCGUCAGGUGUAGCAUAUUCAAUCAAGGCCAAAGUUUCCUCAUUCUUGCUUGACUGAAGAACCGUGGCGCGCGCAUACACACACAUGCCAAAGAACUCCUUAGCUUUCUUACCCCGGCCCACUCGUUACAAUUGUCCUUUAUUCCGAUCCCGAGAUCCAGCCCUUCCUAUUGAACCAUAAGCACUAGCACCACCAAUUGCAUCUUCGCCCCCCAUAGAGACUCAGGAGACGAAGGAGCCGCCAGCCAAAUCGACCAAUAAAUGCGAUAGGCAUUAAUUGUUAGUAACCGCUAAUCGCUACUAACUACUAAAUGCUAACCGCCUACCCUUAUAAAUAAUAUAUAAAAAUAAAUUAGCCUACCAAAACACUAAAACAGGCUCAAAAUCAUCUAAAACAAGCCAUGAAAAGAUGCACAAAAGAUUCAUACCUGACAAGUGGUUACAACGGUACGGUUUGAACAUAAAUAAACGCUAAUUGGGUUACUCAAAACUGUUAACCGCCUAAAAGCAGUGCAAAUGCGACUGCCCCUACAACCCCAGUUAAUCUUCUCACGUGCACGAAGACUCUUUGAAGAGCUCUUCACGUGUAUAAAUUGAGGUUUAUAUUCCAUUUUCUCAAGAGUGGGUAAGAUAUGCCCAAGAAUACCUCAAAAAGUCAUGUACUGAUCAUGGCGGGAUUGAUAAUGCUUCUGCUAAUAACAACAGAUGCUAAAGCUAAAGACCCUCUGCCUACUUCUGUCCACCAGUACUCCAACCCUUUCUAUCUUCCCCAACCCGUCUCCCUCCCCACUCCAUAUGAUGCUAAUAAAGCAAGUAUAACAAAAAGAGGGAUUUGCUGUCUUACGAAAUGUGCCCUGUCGAGAAAUUACGUGGGAGUCACUCGUAAAGAGUAUUUUCGCUUUGUUAGAAGCUGUUGUAAGCAAUUCUGCGUGCCCGGCAUCUGGCUUUGAAAUCAGGGCUAACUACAGACCAGCUACAACCCUUACCUCAAUAUUGCAGAAAUCACGCUCAGCAGUCCAUGUUUUCUGUUACAGCCGGAUGUCUCUGUGACAAGCAUAGAUACACAUGGGCUUACCUUUGUGUUUUACAGUAUCUAAAUCACCUUUGUGAACCGGCCACUAUGUGGUUCUUCGGUUAUAAAUAAGAACUUCAGCAUCUGUUUUGGUCA
This is a long non-coding RNA of Alnus glutinosa, 1316 nucleotides long. RefSeq lists it as uncharacterized. The transcript is spliced from 2 exons. Lineage: Eukaryota; Viridiplantae; Streptophyta; Magnoliopsida; Fagales; Betulaceae. The record is from RefSeq and is a predicted model, not a curated record.